Molecule: ribosomal RNA, 253 nt
Filed under: uncultured bacterium
Lineage: Bacteria
Description: partial 16S ribosomal RNA
Rfam family: Bacterial small subunit ribosomal RNA
Source: RNAcentral
UACGGGGGGGGCAAGCGUUGUUCGGAUUUACUGGGCGUAAAGGGCGCGUAGGCGGCGCGACAAGUCACUUGUGAAAUCUCCGGGCUUAACCCGGAGCGGCCAAGUGAUACUGUCGUGCUGGAGUGCGGAAGGGGCCACCGGAAUUCUCGGUGUAGCGGUGAAAUGCGUAGAUAUCGAGAGGAACACCUGCGGCGAAGGCGGGUGGCUGGGCCGACACUGACGCUGAGGCGCGAAAGCGUGGGGAGCAAACAGG